CCCUUAGAUGUUCUGGGCCGCACGCGUGCUACACUGAGUAAUUCAAUGGGUAAGGGAACGCUAGAGCAUUACCUAAUCUUGAAAUUUGCUCGUGAUGGGGAUCGACGGUUGCAAUUUUCCGUCGUGAACGAGGAAUACCUUGUAGGCGCAUGUCAUCAUCAUGCGCCGAAUACGUCCCUGCCCUUUGUACACACCGCCCGUCGCUCCUACCGAUUGGGUGUGCUGGUGAAAUGUUCGGAUCGGCCGUUUGUCGCGGUUUCCGCGGCUCGUGGCUGAGAAGUUCAUUAAACCCUCCCACCUAGAGGAAGGAGAAGUCGUAACA
Molecule: ribosomal RNA, 322 nt
Filed under: uncultured eukaryote
Lineage: Eukaryota
Description: partial 18S ribosomal RNA
Rfam family: Eukaryotic small subunit ribosomal RNA
Source: RNAcentral